CGCACGAAGGGUUUCGGGCCUUAGUGGCGGACGGGUGAGUAACGCGUAGGUAUCUAUCCAUGGGUGGGGGAUAACACUGGGAAACUGGUGCUAAUACCGCAUGACACCUGAGGGUCAAAGGCGUAAGUCGCCUGUGGAGGAGCCUGCGUUUGAUUAGCUAGUUGGUGGGGUAAAGGCCUACCAAGGCGAUGAUCAAUAGCUGGUUUGAGAGGAUGAUCAGCCACACUGGGACUGAGACACGGCCCAGACUCCUACGGGAGGCAGCAGUGGGGAAUAUUGGACAAUGGGGGCAACCCUGAUCCAGCAAUGCCGCGUGUGUGAAGAAGGUCUUCGGAUUGUAAAGCACUUUCGACGGGGACGAUGAUGACGGUACCCGUAGAAGAAGCCCCGGCUAACUUCGUGCCAGCAGCCGCGGUAAUACGAAGGGGGCUAGCGUUGCUCGGAAUGACUGGGCGUAAAGGGCGUGUAGGCGGUUUGUACAGUCAGAUGUGAAAUCCCCGGGCUUAACCUGGGAGCUGCAUUUGAUACGUGCAGACUAGAGUGUGAGAGAGGGUUGUGGAAUUCCCAGUGUAGAGGUGAAAUUCGUAGAUAUUGGGAAGAACACCGGUGGCGAAGGCGGCAACCUGGCUCAUUACUGACGCUGAGGCGCGAAAGCGUGGGGAGCAAACAGGAUUAG
RNAcentral lists this ribosomal RNA (676 nucleotides) under Acetobacter sp. DmelCS_121. Its description in RNAcentral is "bacterial SSU rRNA". It matches the Rfam family "Bacterial small subunit ribosomal RNA", at positions 63 to 781 of the family's 1533-position model. The record is from RNAcentral. Lineage: Bacteria; Pseudomonadati; Pseudomonadota; Alphaproteobacteria; Acetobacterales; Acetobacteraceae.